GUGGGGAAUUUUGGACAAUGGGCGCAAGCCUGAUCCAGCAAUGCCGCGUGCAGGAAGAAGGCCUUCGGGUUGUAAACUGCUUUUGUACGGAACGAAACGGUCCGGGUUAAUACCCUGGGCUAAUGACGGUACCGUAAGAAUAAGCACCGGCUAACUACGUGCCAGCAGCCGCGGUAAUACGUAGGGUGCAAGCGUUAAUCGGAAUUACUGGGCGUAAAGCGUGCGCAGGCGGUUUUGUAAGACAGGCGUGAAAUCCCCGGGCUCAACCUGGGAAUUGCGCUUGUGACUGCAAGGCUGGAGUGCGGCAGAGGGGGAUGGAAUUCCGCGUGUAGCAGUGAAAUGCGUAGAUAUGCGGAGGAACACCGAUGGCGAAGGCAAUCCCCUGGGCCUACACUGACGCUCAUGCACGAAAGCGUGGGGAGCAAACAGGAUUAGAAACCCCGGUAGUCC
This 450-nucleotide ribosomal RNA is filed under the name uncultured bacterium. Its description in RNAcentral is "bacterial SSU rRNA". It matches the Rfam family "Bacterial small subunit ribosomal RNA", at positions 354 to 796 of the family's 1533-position model. The record is from RNAcentral.